GACGAACGCUGGCGGCGUGCCUAAUACAUGCAAGUAGAACGCUGAAGCGAGGAGCUUACUCUUCUUGGAUGAGUUGCGAACGGGUGAGUAACGCGUAGGUAACCUGCCUUGUAUCGGGGGAUAACUAUUGGAAACGAUAGCUAAUACCGCAUAACAAUGGAUGACACAUGUCAUUUAUUUGAAAGGGGCAAUUGCUCCACUACAAGAUGGACCUGCGUUGUAUUAGGUAGUAGGUGAGGUAAUGGCUCACCUAGGCGACGAUACAUAGCCGACCUGAGAGGGAGAUCGGCCAAACUGGGAAUGAGAAAAGGCCCAGACUCCUAAGGGAGGCAGCAGUAGGGAAUCUUCGGAAAUGGGGGCAACCCUGACCGAGGAACGCCGCGUGAGUGAAGAAGGGUCUCGGAUCGUAAAGCUCUGUUGUAAGUGAAGAAAGGGUGUGAGAGUGGAAAGCUCACAUUGUGACGGUAGCUUACCAGAAAGGGACGGCUAACUACGUG
Molecule: ribosomal RNA, 497 nt
Filed under: uncultured bacterium
Lineage: Bacteria
Description: partial 16S ribosomal RNA
Rfam family: Bacterial small subunit ribosomal RNA
Source: RNAcentral